GUGGACAUGAUUAAGGCAGGUAUAAUUGACCCGGUGAAGGUUAUCAGAACUGCGUUGGUUGAUGCUGCAAGUGUUUCAUCUUUGUUGACUACUACUGAAGCUGUUGUUGUCGAACUCCCGAAGGAAGAGAAGGAAGCUCCAGCUAUGGGAGGAGGCAUGGGUGGAAUGGACUACUGAGAUUCACCUAGUUAAUACCACAAAUAGUAAAUUUCGUACUUGGCGGUAUUUCUUUAGUGAUGGAGGGAUUGGCUAAACUUUUUGAU
RNAcentral lists this unclassified non-coding RNA (263 nucleotides) under Hevea brasiliensis (rubber tree). The record is from RNAcentral. Lineage: Eukaryota; Viridiplantae; Streptophyta; Magnoliopsida; Malpighiales; Euphorbiaceae.